This 492-nucleotide ribosomal RNA is filed under the name uncultured bacterium. RNAcentral's name for it is "partial 16S ribosomal RNA". It matches the Rfam family "Bacterial small subunit ribosomal RNA", at positions 29 to 507 of the family's 1533-position model. The record is from RNAcentral.
AGUGAACGCUGGCGGUAGGCCUAACACAUGCAAGUCGAACGGCAGCACAGUAAGAGCUUGCUCUUACGGGUGGCGAGUGGCGGACGGGUGAGGAAUACAUCGGCAUCUACUUUUUCGUGGGGGAUAACGUAGGGAAACUUACGCUAAUACCGCAUACGCCCUACGGGAGAAAGCAGGGGAUCUUCGGACCUUGCGCGAUUGAAUGAGCCGAUGUCGGAUUAGCUAGUUGGCGGGGUAAAGGCCCACCAAGGCGACGAUCCGUAGCUGGUCUGAGAGGAUGAUCAGCCACACUGGAACUGAGACACGGUCCAGACUCCUACGGGAGGCAGCAGUGGGGAAUAUUGGACAAUGGGCGCAAGCCUGAUCCAGCCAUACCGCGUGGGUGAAGAAGGCCUUCGGGUUGUAAAGCCCUUUUGUUGGGAAAGAAAAGCAGCAGGUUAAUACCCCGCUGUUCUGACGGUACCCAAAGAAUAAGCACCGGCUAACUUCGUG